This is a transfer RNA of 76 nucleotides. It matches the Rfam family "tRNA". From Rfam's summary of the family: Transfer RNA (tRNA) molecules are approximately 80 nucleotides in length.
GGGGGUAUGGCGCAGUUGGUAGCGCACCUGCUUUGCAAGCAGGGGGUCAGGGGUUCGAAUCCCCUUACCUCCACCG